RNAcentral lists this ribosomal RNA (774 nucleotides) under uncultured Neocallimastigales. RNAcentral's name for it is "partial large subunit ribosomal RNA". It matches the Rfam family "Eukaryotic large subunit ribosomal RNA", at positions 22 to 644 of the family's 3401-position model. The record is from RNAcentral. Lineage: Eukaryota; Fungi; Neocallimastigomycota; Neocallimastigomycetes; Neocallimastigales.
GUACACGCUGUGACUAGCAUAUCAAUAAGCGGAGGAAAAGAAACUAACAAGGAUUCCCCUAGUAACGGCGAGUGAAGCGGGAAGAGCUCAAAUUUGAAAUCUUAAAGGGUUUCCCUUUACGAAUUGUAGUUUAAAGAAGUGUUUUCUGUUGAGGUUUUGGUAAAAGUUCUUUGGAAUAGGACAUCAUAGAGGGUGAGAAUCCCGUAUUUGACCUUUACUUUCAACUUUGUGAUACACUUUCAAAGGGUCGGAUUGUUUGGGAAUGCAGUCCAAAAUGGGUGGUAAAUUUCAUCUAAAGCUAAAUAUUGGCGAGAGACCGAUAGCGAACAAGUACCGUGAGGGAAAGAUGAAAAGAACUUUGAAAAGAGAGUUAAACAGUACGUGAAAUUGUCAAAAGGGAAGCGUUUGACACCAGUGUUGUUUUUCUGAAAAUCAAUUAAAGAACUGUUUAUGCUAAGUUGUUUAGACUUUAUCAGCUAUCUGUUUAGUUUUGAGCUUUUCUUUAAUGCACUUUUCAGUUAACAAGUCAACAUCAAUUUCUUUUGCUGUAAAAAAGCUUGAGGAAGGUGGCUUGAGAUUCGUCUUAAGUGUUUAUAGCCUCUUGCCUAUGCAGUCGGAGAGAUUGAGGUCUGCAGCGUAGAUCCUUCGGGGCUAAAUGCAUUUGUGCUAAGUUAUAGCAUUUUAUAGACAACUUGUUGACUAUGAUUUGUCUUGUAGCUUACUCGCUUAUGUUAUUUUACCUACGCUUAGGAUGUUGACUGAUAUGUAGUCGUA